UAAUUUUUUUGUUUGUUUUUGUUCAGUCUAGAUAUUACUCCUAGAUUUGAUGAAUAGCUGGCAAACACCCAUUAUGUAUAUUAUCUCUUCAUUCUGUCAGUCAUUUUCCUUGCCGUGCAGAUGCUUUUUAGUCUGAUAUGAUCCCAUGUGCUGAUUCACAGUAUUAUUUCUUGUACCGUUGGAGUUCUGUUCAGAAAGAUCUCGCAUAUGCCAAUAUCUUCAAGAGCUUUAUCUGUUUUGCCUUCCACCAGAUUGUUUCUACUUUAACACUUGAUGUCAUGAAUUUCUUCAGUGCUCAAAUGUUAAUACACCCAUGGUUAAUAGGAAAUAAUAAUUCCAUUUAAUGUUCUAUGUUAAGCUUACUGCCUCUACUGCACUAUAGUCUUAUCAAUCUUCUGGAUGUUCAACAAAUACAAUUAAGAUAUAAUUAUAAAUUCCUUUUGCUGGGAUCCAUCAGAUAUUUUCCAGAUAAAGGUUAUAUGAUGCAUAUUGGGGCCAUAAUUAACUAUAUUCAACUGGUAUUAAAUGACUCCGCAGCUGAUCUCUCCUAAAUAAAAAGGUAAAAUUAAUAAAACAGGCUAUCCUCCAAAAAUCAGAUGGCAUUAGACAUUCUAACAGCAUAAGAGAUACUUACACAAUUGUAAAACCAAAAUGUACGGAAUGACAAAUGAAUGACAUGUCAGUUUCUAAAAUUCCCUGGACCUUAUCCUUAUCCCCCUUAUGGGAAGCCAUUACUAAAGUUAUAAUCAUAAACUGUUGAUUCUAUUAUUUGACUCCUGCAUACUUAACUGAUUCUUUGCCUUUGUCUCCUUUAGAUGUAAAGCUGUAUACCUACCCAAGAUGAAAACUAGAUGUCUUGUGACUAUAAAAGAGACAGAUACCUUCCACUGUGGGUCAGAUCCCAAGACAAAAGGCUAAACCUUCAAACAGCACAGGGAGACCUUCUUAAUAUGGCUUUUCAUGUUUUCAACAACAGAGAUAAAAAUCAGUAGGAAAAAUAACAGUCUGAUCUUUUAGAAGUGACACUUGGAGCUGUGAGAUAGGUAAAUCAACACAAGAUGGAGUUGCCUGGGCCCCUCCCAGAUCAUGCUUCAAAUACAACAAACAAGGACAUUGGGAGACCUCAUCACCACUGGAUUCAUUACUGACUGAUCUACUCGGACUUGAUGCUGAAGACUGAUGGGGCUCAGGGUUCACAGCCCUCCAUUAAGGUGUCCUCAGAGCCCCAAGUCCCACUGGAGGUCUCAGUCGAAGAUGUGGACAUUCACCAAUGAUGAAGUUUUCCUGGCUAAAACACCUGGUACCAGCUUCUACAUGGGCAUCAAUCAUCAUCCCGUCAACCUUACUAAACCCCAAUAUGGCGGCCCCUUUCAACAGGAAGUAGUAAAAAAGAGAUUUUCCCUUUUCCUAACAAUACAAAGAUGGGAAUGAAAAGUUCUUGCCUCAGUAGAGUCUAAUGAGGGGCAGAAGACCAAAGUGGGAACACCUACCACUUCCUGCUUCUUUUCCAGCUCCUGUUUGUGUGGGAAGAAGACUCCAAUCAGCUCCUUGAGUGUGAUCAAUGCCCGCCCUAAGCACAGCCUCUGGUCAGACGUUAUAUGUGUAUUCCCUGCCCCAGGUGUCAGCCAGAGAAAGCCAGGCCCCAGCGGUCAUGGAAUUCUCUCCAUGUCCUUAGAAUAAAGGCUAU
Cavia porcellus (domestic guinea pig) is the source of this 1687-nucleotide long non-coding RNA. RefSeq lists it as uncharacterized. Lineage: Eukaryota; Metazoa; Chordata; Mammalia; Rodentia; Caviidae. The record is from RefSeq and is a predicted model, not a curated record. The transcript has 3 exons.